RNAcentral lists this ribosomal RNA (468 nucleotides) under uncultured bacterium. Its description in RNAcentral is "partial 16S ribosomal RNA". It matches the Rfam family "Bacterial small subunit ribosomal RNA", at positions 28 to 507 of the family's 1533-position model. The record is from RNAcentral.
GACGAACGCUGGCGGCGUGCUUAACACAUGCAAGUCGAACGGAAAGGCCCUGCUUUUGUGGGGUGCUCGAGUGGCGAACGGGUGAGUAACACGUGAGUAACCUGCCCUUGACUUUGGGAUAACUUCACGAAACUGGGGCUAAUACCGGAUAGGAGCUCCUGCUGCAUGGUGGGGGUUGGAAAGUUUCGGCGGUUGGGGAUGGACUCGCGGCUUAUCAGCUUGUUGGUGGGGUAGUGGCUUACCAAGGCUUUGACGGGUAGCCGGCCUGGGAGGGUGACCGGCCACAUUGGGACUGAGAUACGGCGCAGACUCCUACGGGAGGCAGCAGUGGGGAAUAUUGCACAAUGGGCGGAAGCCUGAUGCAGCAACGCCGCGUGCGGGAUGACGGCCUUCGGGUUGUAAACCGCUUUCGCCUGUGACGAAGCGUGAGUGACGGUAAUGGGUAAAGAAGCACCGGCUAACUACGUG